RNAcentral lists this small RNA (31 nucleotides) under Bombyx mori (domestic silkworm). RNAcentral describes it as "ovarian small RNA-34811". Lineage: Eukaryota; Metazoa; Arthropoda; Insecta; Lepidoptera; Bombycidae. The record is from RNAcentral.
UGGCCGGUGACUGGUGCUCCUGAGGGGGCGG